This 468-nucleotide ribosomal RNA is filed under the name uncultured bacterium. Its description in RNAcentral is "partial 16S ribosomal RNA". It matches the Rfam family "Bacterial small subunit ribosomal RNA", at positions 28 to 507 of the family's 1533-position model. The record is from RNAcentral.
GACGAACGCUGGCGGCGUGCUUAACACAUGCAAGUCGAACGGAAAGGCCCUGCUUUUGUGGGGUGCUCGAGUGGCGAACGGGUGAGUAACACGUGAGUAACCUGCCCUUGACUUUGGGAUAACUUCAGGAAACUGGGGCUAAUACCGGAUAGGAGCUCCUGCUGCAUGGUGGGGGUUGGAAAGUUUCGGCGGUUGGGGAUGGACUCGCGGCUUAUCAGCUUGUUGGUGGGGUAGUGGCUUACCAAGGCUUUGACGGGUAGCCGGCCUGAGAGGGUGGACGGCCACAUUGGGACUGGGAGACGGCCCAGACUGCUACCGGAGGCAGCAGUGGGGAAUAUUGCCCAAUGGGCGGAAGCCUGAUGCAGCAACGCCGCGUGCGGGAUGACGGCCUUCGGGUUGUAAACCGCUUUCGCCUGUGACGAAGCGUGAGUGACGGUAAUGGGUAAAGAAGCACCGGCUAACUACGUG